GACGAACGCUGGCGGCGUGCUUAACACAUGCAAGUCGAACGGAAAGGCCCUGCUUUUGUGGGGUGCUCGAGUGGCGAACGGGUGAGUAACACGUGAGUAACCUGCCCUUGACUUUGGGAUAACUUCAGGAAACUGGGGCUAAUACCGGAUAGGAGCUCCUGCUGCAUGGUGGGGGUUGGAAAGUUUCGGCGGUUGGGGAUGGACUCGCGGCUUAUCAGCUUGUUGGUGGGGUAGUGGCUUACCAAGGCUUUGACGGGUAGCCGGCCUGAGAGGGUGACCGGCCCCCUUGGGCCUGAGAGACGGCCCAGACUCCUACGGGAGGCAGCAGUGGGGAAUAUUGCACAAUGGGCGGAAGCCUGAUGCAGCAACGCCGCGUGCGGGAUGACGGCCUUCGGGUUGUAAACCGCUUUCGCCUGUGACGAAGCGUGAGUGACGGUAAUGGGUAAAGAAGCACCGGCUAACUACGUG
RNAcentral lists this ribosomal RNA (468 nucleotides) under uncultured bacterium. Its description in RNAcentral is "partial 16S ribosomal RNA". It matches the Rfam family "Bacterial small subunit ribosomal RNA", at positions 28 to 507 of the family's 1533-position model. The record is from RNAcentral.